UUUUUUUAAAUUUUUUUUUUUUUGUCAGAGCAAAUGUCUUGAUCAACAAAGUGUUAAAAUUGAAACGCCGAAAAAAUAGAUCAAGAAAAAUUACUUAAUGCAAGAAAAUAAAAGAUAAGAAAAGAGCAUACUGAUAUUUAUAUGGUUCGACUAUCGGCCUAUGCCCACAGAUAAAGACGGAACAAAUAUUUUAUUAAUUUCGAAAGACGAAGUACAAAAAAAAUCUCUCAAAGAACCAAAACUUGAAUAGAUCGGAAACACAGAAAUCCGCAUCCGUACAAGCGACUCCAAAUAAGCGGCUCGGCUCCUCUCACCCGUACGGACCACCCUUCCUUAAUUCUCACUUAAUUAAUUAACAUGGCUCUUAAUUUGGUCGCGGCCUCAUUAACUUAGCCGUAACAUGUAUAUAUAAUACAUGUCCCCUAACUAGAGUUUAAUCCUAAUUCAAUUAAAAUUACACUCCUACUUAUAAUCUAUAUAUGCCAAAUUAAAUAUAAAUUAUAUCUAAUCCUAAUUAUAUUAGAAUUUGACUUCAAUUUAGAUAACUACAAAUC
RNAcentral lists this long non-coding RNA (554 nucleotides) under Ananas comosus (pineapple). RNAcentral's name for it is "long non-coding RNA (ACOM_LNC036745)". The record is from RNAcentral. Lineage: Eukaryota; Viridiplantae; Streptophyta; Magnoliopsida; Poales; Bromeliaceae.